CGCGUGUGGGAAGAAGGCCUUCGGGUUGUAAAGCACUUUAAGCGAGGAGGAAUGGCUCUAGGUUAAUACCCUUGAGCAGUGACGUUACUCGCAGAAUAAGCACCGGCUAACUCUGUGCCAGCAGCCGCGGUAAUACAGAGGGUGCAAGCGUUAAUCGGAAUUACUGGGCGUAAAGCGCGCGUAGGCGGUUACGUAAGUUGGAGGUGAAAUCCCCGAGCUCAACUUGGGAAUUGCCUUCAAAACUGCGUGGCUAGAGUGUGGGAGAGGAAGGUAGAAUUCCAGGUGUAGCGGUGAAAUGCGUAGAUAUCUGGAGGAAUACCGAUGGCGAAGGCAGCCUUCUGGCCUAACACUGACGCUGAGGUGCGAAAGCAUGGGGAGCAAACAGGAUUAGAUACCCUGGUAGUCCAUGCCGUAAACGAUGUCUACUAGCCGUUGGGGGACUUGAUCCUUUAGUGGCGCAGCUAACGCAUUAAGUAGACCGCCUGGGGAGUACGGUCGCAAGACUAAAACUCAAAUGAAUUGACGGGGGCCCGCACAAGCGGUGGAGCAUGUGGUUUAAUUCGAUGCAACGCGAAGAACCUUACCUGGCCUUGACAUGUCUGGAAUCCUGUAGAGAUACGGGAGUGCCUUCGGGAAUCAGAACACAGGUGCUGCAUGGCUGUCGUCAGCUCGUGUCGUGAGAUGUUGGGUUAAGUCCCGCAACGAGCGCAACCCUUGUCCUUAGUUGCCAGCACGUAAUGGUGGGAACUCUAGGGAGACUGCCGGUGACAAACCGGAGGAAGGCGGGGACGACGUCAAGUCAUCAUGGCCCUUACGGCCAGGGCUACACACGUGCUACAAUGGUCGGUACAAAGGGUUGCCAACUCGCGAGAGUGCGCUAAUCUCAAAAAGCCGAUCGUAGUCCGGAUUGGAGUCUGCAACUCGACUCCAUGAAGUCGGAAUCGCUAGAAAUCGCGGAUCAGAAUGCCGCGGUGAAUACGUUCCCGGGCCUUGUACAC
RNAcentral lists this ribosomal RNA (998 nucleotides) under metagenome. RNAcentral's name for it is "bacterial SSU rRNA". It matches the Rfam family "Bacterial small subunit ribosomal RNA", at positions 398 to 1388 of the family's 1533-position model. The record is from RNAcentral.